UAGGGAAUCUUCCGCAAUGGGCGAAAGCCUGACGGAGCAACGCCGCGUGAGUGAUGAAGGUCUUCGGAUCGUAAAACUCUGUUAUUAGGGAAGAACAAAUGUGUAAGUAACUAUGCACGUCUUGACGGUACCUAAUCAGAAAGCCACGGCUAACUACGUGCCAGCAGCCGCGGUAAUACGUAGGUGGCAAGCGUUAUCCGGAAUUAUUGGGCGUAAAGCGCGCGUAGGCGGUUUUUUAAGUCUGAUGUUAAAGCCCACGGCUCAACCGUGGAGGGUCAUUGGAAACUGGAAAACUUGAGUGCAGAAGAGGAAAGUGGAAUUCCAUGUGUAGCGGUGAAAUGCGCAGAGAUAUGGAGGAACACCAGUGGCGAAGGCGACUUUCUGGUCUGUAACUGACGCUGAUGUGCGAAAGCGUGGGGAUCAAACAGG
This 429-nucleotide ribosomal RNA is filed under the name Actinomycetes bacterium. Its description in RNAcentral is "Actinobacteria bacterium partial 16S ribosomal RNA". It matches the Rfam family "Bacterial small subunit ribosomal RNA", at positions 355 to 776 of the family's 1533-position model. The record is from RNAcentral. Lineage: Bacteria; Bacillati; Actinomycetota; Actinomycetes.